GAUGAACGCUGGCGGCGUGCCUAAUACAUGCAAGUCGAGCGAACAGACGAGGAGCUUGCUCCUCUGACGUUAGCGGCGGACGGGUGAGUAACACGUGGAUAACCUACCUAUAAGACUGGGAUAACUUCGGGAAACCGGAGCUUAUACCGGAUAAUAUAUUGAACCGCAUGGUUCAAUAGAGAAAGUCGGUUUUGGUGUCACUUAUAGAUGGAUCCGCGCCGCAUUAGCUAGUUGGUAGGGUAACGGCUUACCAAGGCAACGAUGCGUAGCCGACGUGAGAGGGUGAUCGCCCACACUGGAACUGAGACACGGUCCAGAGUACUACGGGAGGCAGCAGUAGGGAAUCUUCCGCAAUAGGCGAAAGCUUGACGGAGCAACGCCACGUGAGUGAUGAAGGUCUUCGGAUCGUAAAACUCUGUUAUUAGUGAAGAACAAAUGUGUAAGUAACUAUGCACGUCUUGACGGUACCUAAUCAGAAAGCAACGGCUAACUACGUG
Molecule: ribosomal RNA, 497 nt
Filed under: uncultured bacterium
Lineage: Bacteria
Description: partial 16S ribosomal RNA
Rfam family: Bacterial small subunit ribosomal RNA
Source: RNAcentral